Molecule: ribosomal RNA, 1425 nt
Filed under: metagenome
Description: bacterial LSU rRNA
Rfam family: Bacterial large subunit ribosomal RNA
Source: RNAcentral
GGGAAAGCGGAAGCCGGGAAUGGAAAGCCCGGUGCAAGCGGGGUACCAGUCACUUUGGCAAAUCCGGGUGGCAAUGGGAAGCCGUGAUGCGGAGCGAAAUAAAGUAGUGAAGUCCGUGAGCCAUGCGUCAAGAAAAGCCGCUAUUGUUUAUACCGUACCCGUACCGUAAACCGACACAGGUGGAUGAGGAGAGAAUCCUAAGGCCGGCGGAAGAAGCAUUGUCAAGGAACUCGGCAAAAUGGCCCCGUAACUUAGGGAUAAGGGGUGCCUGGGAAACCAGGCCGCAGAGAAUAGGCUCAAGCAACUGUUUAGCAAAAACACAGGUCUAUGCGAAACCGAAAGGUGAGGUAUAUGGGCUGACGCCUCCCCGGUGCUGGAAGGUUAAGAGGAGAGGUUAGCGCAAGCGAAGCUUUGAAUUUAAGCCCCAGUAAACGGCGGCCGUAACUAUAACGUCCUAAGGUAGCGAAAUUCCUUGUCGGGUAAGUUCCGACCCGCACGAAAGGCGUAAGGAUUUGAGCGCUGUCUCGACAAUGCAUCCGGUGAAAUUGAAGUACCAGUGAAGAUGCUGGCUACCUGCGCCAGGACGGAAAGACCCCAUGGAGCUUUACUCCAGUCUGGUACUGGGACUCGGUAUUGCAUGUACAGGAUAGGUGGGAGGCUAGGAGAUGGUAACGCCAGUUGCCAUGGAGCCGCUGUUGGGAUACCACCCUUGCAGUAUUGGGUUUCUAACCAGCCGCCGUGACCCGGCGGUGGGACAAUGCCAGACGGGGAGUUUGACUGGGGCGGUCGCCUCCGAAAGGGUAUCGGAGGCGCCCAAAGGUUCCCUCAGAAUGGACGGAAACCAUUCGAAGAGUGCAAAGGCAGAAGGGAGCUUGACUGCGACACCGACGGGUGGAGCGGGUACGAAAGUAGGGCUUAGUGAUCCGGUGGUAUUAAGUGGGAAUGCCAUCGCUCAACGGAUAAAAGCUACCCUGGGAUAACAGGCUUAUCACUCCCAAGAGUUCACAUCGACGGAGUGGUUUGGCACCUCGAUGUCGGCUCAUCGCAUCCUGGGGCUGUAGUAGGUCCCAAGGGUUGGGCUGUUCGCCCAUUAAAGCGGUACGCGAGCUGGGUUCAGAACGUCGUGAGACAGUUCGGUCCCUAUCCGGCGUGGGCGUAGGAUAUCUGAGAGGAGCUGUCCUUAGUACGAGAGGACCGGGAUGGACGGGCCGCUGGUGCAUCGGUUAGACUGCCAAGUCUACGGCCGAGUAGCCAAGCCCGGAAGGGAUAAACGCUGAAGGCAUCUAAGCGUGAAGCCCCCCUUAAGAUGAGAUAUCCCAUUCGUUAAGAAGUAAACCCCCUUGAAGACGACGAGGUAGAUAGGGCAGAGGUGGAAGUGCAGCAAUGCAUGGAGCUGACUGUUACUAAUCGGGUGAGGGCUUGAUC